RNAcentral lists this ribosomal RNA (904 nucleotides) under Pediococcus acidilactici. RNAcentral's name for it is "bacterial SSU rRNA". It matches the Rfam family "Bacterial small subunit ribosomal RNA", at positions 57 to 914 of the family's 1533-position model. Lineage: Bacteria; Bacillati; Bacillota; Bacilli; Lactobacillales; Lactobacillaceae. The record is from RNAcentral.
GCAAGUCGAACGAACUUCCGUUAAUUGAUCAUGGACGUGCUUGCACUGAAUGAGAUUUUAACACGAAGUGAGUGGCGGACGGGUGAGUAACACGUGGGUAACCUGCCCAGAAGCAGGGGAUAACACCUGGAAACAGAUGCUAAUACCGUAUAACAGAGAAAACCGCCUGGUUUUCUUUUAAAAGAUGGCUCUGCUAUCACUUCUGGAUGGACCCGCGGCGCAUUAGCUAGUUGGUGAGGUAACGGCUCACCAAGGCGAUGAUGCGUAGCCGACCUGAGAGGGUAAUCGGCCACAUUGGGACUGAGACACGGCCCAGACUCCUACGGGAGGCAGCAGUAGGGAAUCUUCCACAAUGGACGCAAGUCUGAUGGAGCAACGCCGCGUGAGUGAAGAAGGGUUUCGGCUCGUAAAGCUCUGUUGUUAAAGAAGAACGUGGGUGAGAGUAACUGUUCACCCAGUGACGGUAUUUAACCAGAAAGCCACGGCUAACUACGUGCCAGCAGCCGCGGUAAUACGUAGGUGGCAAGCGUUAUCCGGAUUUAUUGGGCGUAAAGCGAGCGCAGGCGGUCUUUUAAGUCUAAUGUGAAAGCCUUCGGCUCAACCGAAGAAGUGCAUUGGAAACUGGGAGACUUGAGUGCAGAAGAGGACAGUGGAACUCCAUGUGUAGCGGUGAAAUGCGUAGAUAUAUGGAAGAACACCAGUGGCGAAAGCGGCUGUCUGGUCUGUAACUGACGCUGAGGCUCGAAAGCAUGGGUAGCGAACAGGAUUAGAUACCCUGGUAGUCCAUGCCGUAAACGAUGAUUACUAAGUGUUGGAGGGUUUCCGCCCUUCAGUGCUGCAGCUAACGCAUUAAGUAAUCCGCCUGGGGAGUACGACCGCAAGGUUGAAACUCAAAAGAAUUUGA